RNAcentral lists this ribosomal RNA (253 nucleotides) under uncultured bacterium. RNAcentral describes it as "partial 16S ribosomal RNA". It matches the Rfam family "Bacterial small subunit ribosomal RNA", at positions 524 to 776 of the family's 1533-position model. The record is from RNAcentral.
UACAGAGGUCUCAAGCGUUGUUCGGAUUCAUUGGGCGUAAAGGGUGUGUAGGUGGCGCGCUAAGUCGGGUGUGAAAUUUCGGAGCUUAACUCCGAAACUGCAUUUGAUACUGGCGUGCUUGAGGACUGGAGAGGAGACUGGAAUUCAUGGUGUAGCAGUGAAAUGCGUAGAGAUCAUGAGGAAGACCAGUGGCGAAGGCGGGUCUCUGGACAGUUCCUGACACUGAGACACGAAGGCCAGUGGAGCAAACGGG